GCCCGGAUAGCUCAGUCGGUAGAGCAUCAGACUUUUAAUCUGAGGGUCCAGGGUUCAAGUGGACCAGGGUUGCUCCCUGUUCAGGCC
Non-coding RNA from Pygocentrus nattereri (red-bellied piranha), 87 nucleotides. The record is from the annotation of a RefSeq genome assembly. Lineage: Eukaryota; Metazoa; Chordata; Actinopteri; Characiformes; Serrasalmidae.